Molecule: unclassified non-coding RNA, 182 nt
Filed under: soil metagenome
Description: partial internal transcribed spacer 1
Source: RNAcentral
AACAAAUCAUCAUAGUCGUGCGCUUCGGCGCACCGCUAUAUACACCCCAAGCCUGGGAAGAGCAGCAAUGCUUGGAACGGCUUUGGUUGCAGCCUUCGGGCUGUAGGCUAGGGCGCCGCAAGGCAAACUAGCCACAUAGACGCUUGCUUAGUUUGACAGAGUUUAGUUGCAUCAAAAAAAUA